UUAAUGGCGUUUUGGCUGCA
This 20-nucleotide small nuclear RNA is filed under the name Arabidopsis thaliana (thale cress). Its description in RNAcentral is "snRNA_00727". Lineage: Eukaryota; Viridiplantae; Streptophyta; Magnoliopsida; Brassicales; Brassicaceae. The record is from RNAcentral.